GUCUUCGUGGUGUAACGGUAGCACACUCGGCUCGUACUCGAGAGGUCUAGGUUCGAGUUUCAGUGAAGGCA
Molecule: transfer RNA, 71 nt
Filed under: Stegodyphus mimosarum
Lineage: Eukaryota; Metazoa; Arthropoda; Arachnida; Araneae; Eresidae
Rfam family: tRNA
About the family: Transfer RNA (tRNA) molecules are approximately 80 nucleotides in length. Their secondary structure includes four short double-helical elements and three loops (D, anti-codon, and T loops). Further hydrogen bonds mediate the characteristic L-shaped molecular structure. tRNAs have two regions of fundamental functional importance: the anti-codon, which is responsible for specific mRNA codon recognition, and the 3' end, to which the tRNAs corresponding amino acid is attached (by aminoacyl-tRNA synthetases). tRNAs cope with the degeneracy of the genetic code in two manners: having more than one tRNA (with a specific anti-codon) for a particular amino acid; and 'wobble' base-pairing, i.e. permitting non-standard base-pairing at the 3rd anti-codon position.
Source: Rfam by way of RNAcentral